This 490-nucleotide ribosomal RNA is filed under the name uncultured bacterium. Its description in RNAcentral is "partial 16S ribosomal RNA". It matches the Rfam family "Bacterial small subunit ribosomal RNA", at positions 28 to 507 of the family's 1533-position model. The record is from RNAcentral.
GAUGAACGCUAGCGAUAGGCUUAACACAUGCAAGUCGAGGGGCAGCAUGGUCUUAGCUUGCUAAGACUGAUGGCGACCGGCGCACGGGUGCGUAACGCGUAUGCAACUUGCCUCACAGAGGGGGAUAACCCGUCGAAAGACGGACUAAUACCGCGUACACUCCAUCUUGGGCAUCCAAGGUAGAGGAAAUGAAAUUCGCUGUGAGAUAGGCAUGCGUCCCAUUAGCUAGUUGGUGAGGUAACGGCUCACCAAGGCGACGAUGGGUAGGGGAACUGAGAGGUUGAACCCCCACACUGGUACUGAGACACGGACCAGACUCCUACGGGAGGCAGCAGUGAGGAAUAUUGGUCAAUGGGCGAGAGCCUGAACCAGCCAAGUCGCGUGAAGGAUGACUGUCUUAUGGAUUGUAAACUUCUUUUAUACGGGAAUAACAAGAGUCACGUGUGACUCCCUGCAUGUACCGUAUGAAUAAGCAUCGGCUAACUCCGCG